Molecule: non-coding RNA, 393 nt
Organism: Hymenobacter mucosus
Lineage: Bacteria; Pseudomonadati; Bacteroidota; Cytophagia; Cytophagales; Hymenobacteraceae
Source: Rfam
GUGAUGAGUCGCCCCACCGCGGCGCUGCAAAGCGACGAGGAAAGUCCGGGCAACACAGAGCACCCUGCUUCCUAACGGGAAGGACUGGUGCGCGUAAAGCAAUCCAGGACAGCUAGUACCACAGAAAACUACCGCCUACGUCGCCUUCGGGUGGCCGGUAAGGGUGAAAAGGUGCGGUAAGAGCGCACCAGCGGCUGGGCAACCACGCCGGCUGGGUAAACCUCAGGGGUUGAAAGACCAAAUAAGCUGGCAUGUAGCUCUUCGGAACUGCACCGGGCGGCUCGUUCGGCGCCAGCGGGUAGGUUGAUAGAGCCUUUCCGUGAGGACUGGCCUAGAUAAAUGGUGGGGCCGCGGCAACGCGGACAAAACCCGGCUUACAGACUCGUCACCCGU